Long non-coding RNA from Homo sapiens (human), 1982 nucleotides. Ensembl annotates it as SPANXA2 overlapping transcript 1. Its record names the gene SPANXA2-OT1. The record is from Ensembl. Lineage: Eukaryota; Metazoa; Chordata; Mammalia; Primates; Hominidae.
AGGAAAAGGAUGCGCUGGGUCGCUGAACCACCGGCUUGUGAUACGCCAGUGAAGACUAUGGCUUCCACUCACUCCUUUCUGCCUCCUGGUGUUCACCCACGUGUCCCUGCAUGAUGUGUUGAUAUUGUGUCCAGAAUUGGUGGGUUCUUGGUCUCACUGACUUCAAGAAUGAAGCUGUGGACCCUCACGUGAUAAAGCUAUGUGACAUUUUAGAUACAUGGACAACAGAAAGACGGAAUUGGACAAAGAAUGAAAAUGCAGGGAAGAAAUAAAUCAGCAAACAAAACACUGAACGUGAAAUUGGAAAGUGGUUGUAAUGGGAAGGAUGAAGAUGUCCCAAAGGAAGUAACACUGGCAACAACUUUCACAUUAAAGAAACUUUUGGGGAAAUUUUACAAAUUUAAAUACAAAGGGUAAAACACUGGAAGCGAUCCAUACUUAGAAAGGAAUAUGACAAUUCACUAAAGCAAAGCAAGAUGCUUACUUCAUAUCAUAAAUUACAUGAUUUAUGUGCUAAGAAGCUGUUGUGAUUUUCAAGAAUCUCGAGGAAGCUCCCAAUAGCUAUCUCAUUCUGCCACAACAAAGCAGAUAUCUCUUAAGUGCUUACUAAGAAGCCCAUGUGACUUUCACAUCUGCCUAUGCACCUGUCUGCAACUACCCCAGAGUAUAAUAGACUGUUCUCUUCCACCUUUUAAAUCUCAUUCAUGCAAGUGCCUCCUACUGGAAAACUGUAAUCCAGAAUCAUUUCGGGGAGAGGAUUCUGGGAAACUGUUCACUGGCUUCCCUUCUGUGAUACAAAAAGAGGAUCUUAAAGCAGCUUGGUCGUUGUGGUAGGCAGAAAAAUUGCCUUCCAGAGAUGUUCGAUCCCUGCAACCUGUGAAUAUAUUACUUUAUAUGCGAACAGAAACUUCAGAGAUGGUAUUAAGUUUACUUUAAAAAUAGAGAAAACAUCCUGGAUUAUUCACAUGAUCCUAGUGUGAUCACAUGUGUCCUUAUUAAAACUGGAAGAGGGAGACAGAAGACUGAGUCAGAGAGAUGCAAGAAAAUUCAAAGUGUGAGAGGGACUCCUACCCACCAUUGCUGGUGUGAAAGAUAGAGAAAAGGGGCCAGAAGCCAAGGCAUGGAGGCAGCAUCUACAAGCUAGAUAUCACCUUCAUCUGACAGCCUCAAAGGAAACAGGAAUGCUAGUGCUACAAUUGCAACAACCUGAAUGUACAAUAAAGCAAUUCUCGACCGGGCACAGUGGCUCAUGCUUGUAAUCCCGGCACUUUGGGAGGUCGAAGCAGGCGGAUCACCUGAGGUUGGGAGUUCGAGACCAGCCUGGCCAACAUGGAGAAACCCAUCUCUACUAAAAAUACAAAAUUAGCUGGGCGUGGUGGUGCACACCUGUAAACCCAGCUACUCGGGAGCCUGAGGCAGGAGAAUUGCUUGAACCCGGGAGGCAGAGAUUGUGGUGAGCCAAAAUCUUGCCGUUGCAUUCCACCCUGGGCAACAAGAGCAAAACUUCAUCUCAAAACAAAAAAAAAACAAAACAAAACAAAACAAAAAAACCAAUUCUCACUUAGAGCCUUUAGAAAGGAACAGAGCUCUACUGACUCCUUCAUUUCUGCUUGGUAUUAGAGACAGACUUGUAACUCCUUCAGCUCCUGCGGUAUCUUCAGCUUCAUCUUCUCUGACUGUUGGGCCAGGUGUGUGUUUAGCUUCCCGAUGAAGGACAUUGACUUCUCUUGCACUUCAUCUGCAUCAUCCAAGUUGAAGGUUUAGAGGUCGCGGGAAACUGAUGUGGAUUUCUGCUUAUCUUUGGGAAUUCUGGUUAUCCCUUUUCUCCACCAUUUUGCAGGCAUCUUUCCUUCCUUACUGCCUGUCCUGCUGUCUUCAGAGUAAACACAAGACUCAGAAGUAAUGGGAAAAUAUAGAUUUCUUUACCACUUCCUACAAUAGCAUAUAAUCAAAUAAUGCCUAUAAUAAAUGCUUUAUUCUAU